RNAcentral lists this long non-coding RNA (1046 nucleotides) under Heterocephalus glaber (naked mole-rat). RNAcentral's name for it is "lncRNA (ENSHGLG00100029450.2)". The record is from RNAcentral. Lineage: Eukaryota; Metazoa; Chordata; Mammalia; Rodentia; Bathyergidae.
UCAGCAUCAAAGCAAGCUGCAGCUGUAAACAGUAAUGGGCUGCUUUCUGGAAAAGGUGGAAUUGCUCCGAGACAAGGUCUCUGGCUCCCUGUUAGCCCGAGAGGCAGAGGCGAAGCUGAGCUCCUGCACCCCAGGCGAGAGAUAAAUCACCCCUCUCCCUCUGUCCUCCCACCGCUCCUGAGCUACGUCCUGCCGGGAUUGACACAUCUUCGCUCUUGUCUUUGGGUAGGAAGAACAGGCUGUAAUUCAAUCAAAUCAUCACACACAGGUGCCUCGAUGUGAAUGGAACCGACCUCACAGAAAGAAGCUUUUCCUGUGGCCUGGGCACCGCAGGGACUGGGAGCUCGGAUCAGAAUCUGAGUAAACUGUGAGAUGUCACAGGCCAGCAACGAGAGAAAAAUCCUGUGGGGUUUUCCGGAGACUGGUGACAAGAUGGCACGGGGAUGACCAACCCUGGGAACGUGAAGACAGACUCAGCUGCCAGCAACAACCGGUGCAGCAAGGUUUGGUGUUCAUGUUAAGCAAGGUCCAUGGCUGGGCUGGCAUUUGCCAUAUCCAAACAGAGGCUGCAGACCUGUGUGCCUGGUAGGGCUCAGCCUGUGAAACUCACAAGAGACCUCUAAGUCCCCACGAGCGCCGCCUGCAGUGCGAGCUGCAGAAUCCUGAGCCCCGUGGAGCAGGAAGGACCCCAAGCUUCGGCUCAGAGCAAGCCCAGAUGAGGCCAGCCAGACGUGUGCAAGAGGAAGGGAUUGCCACACCCCAUCCACAUGUGGAAGCCAGGUUCUACAGCACUGCUGCAGCAAGACCUGACGUGCCCUGAACCGAGUUCCCUCUGCCCACGCACAGGCUAGGUUGCCAGGAGGGCAGGGAGUGGUGUGGUGGGGAUCCUGGUCUGGCCUCUGUGCUUAAAGAAAUACCUCUAAGGUUUUAUUGAUCACUGAACAGCAUUUGCUUUCUAUGUCCUGCGGCUACAUUUUUCAGGUACAGGAUGUCUUCUUUAGUCUUAAUUUGAAAGAGGUUUUUUCUUUUUUUAAACAUGAAAGGAG